GAUGAACGCUGGCGGCGUGCCUAAUACAUGCAAGUCGAGCGAACAGACGAGGAGCUUGCUCCUCUGACGUUAGCGGCGGACGGGUGAGUAACACGUGGAUAACCUACCUAUAAGACUGGGAUAACUUCGGGAAACCGGAGCUAAUACCGGAUAAUAUAUUGAACCGCAUGGUUCAAUAGUGAAAGACGGUUUUGCUGUCACUUAUCGAUGGAUCCGCGCCGCAUUAGCUAGUUGGUAAGGUAACGGCUUACCAAGGGAACGAUGCGUAGCCGACCGGAGAGGGUGAUCGGCCACACUGGAACUGAGACACGGUCCAGACUCCUACGGGAGGCAGCAGUAGGGAAUCUUCCGCAAUGGGCGAAAGCCUGACGGAGCAACGCCGCGUGAGUGAUGAAGGUCUUCGGAUCGUAAAACUCUGUUAUUAGGGAAGAACAAAUGUGUAAGUAACUAUGCACGUCUUGACGGUACCUAAUCAGAAAGCCCCGGCUAACUACGUG
This 497-nucleotide ribosomal RNA is filed under the name uncultured bacterium. Its description in RNAcentral is "partial 16S ribosomal RNA". It matches the Rfam family "Bacterial small subunit ribosomal RNA", at positions 28 to 507 of the family's 1533-position model. The record is from RNAcentral.